Mycena latifolia is the source of this 92-nucleotide non-coding RNA. The record is from the annotation of a GenBank genome assembly. NCBI's taxonomy places the organism in Eukaryota, Fungi, Basidiomycota, Agaricomycetes, Agaricales, Mycenaceae.
GGCUCGAUGGCGGACGGUCCGCACCUGCAUCCUGUGCAGGAAGAUUUAGCCUUUAACUGCAGGAAAAGCCCGUUCGACUCGGGCUCGAGCCA